GUGCUCACUUUAGCAGCCCAUAUACUAAAAUUGGAACGAUACAGAGAAAAUUAGCAUAGCUACCCACCGUACAAGGAUGACUCGCAAAUUCAUGAAGCAUUCCAUAUUUUU
Molecule: small nuclear RNA, 111 nt
Organism: Acomys russatus (golden spiny mouse)
Lineage: Eukaryota; Metazoa; Chordata; Mammalia; Rodentia; Muridae
Source: RefSeq, a predicted model, not a curated record